Molecule: ribosomal RNA, 401 nt
Filed under: uncultured bacterium
Lineage: Bacteria
Description: bacterial SSU rRNA
Rfam family: Bacterial small subunit ribosomal RNA
Source: RNAcentral
UAGGGAAUCUUGGACAAUGGGCGAAAGCCUGAUCCAGCCAUGCCGCGUGAGUGAUGAAGGCCUUAGGGUUGUAAAGCUCUUUCGCCAGGGAAGAUAAUGACGGUACCUCUUGAAUAGCACCGGCUAACUCCGUGCCAGCAGCCGCGGUAAUACGGAGGGUGCAAGCGUUAUCCGGAAUCACUGGGCGUAAAGGGCGCGUAGGCGGUCUGUUAAGUCCGAUGUUAAAUCCCGGGGCUCAACCCCGGAUAAGCGUUGGAUACUGGCAGGCUAGACGGUUGGAGAGGCGAGUGGAAUUACCAGUGUAGCGGUGGAAUGCGUAGAUACUGGUAGGAACACCCAUUGCGAAGGCAGCUCGCUGGACAACACGUGACGCUGAGGCGCGAAAGUGUGGGGAGCAAACC